RNAcentral lists this small nuclear RNA (352 nucleotides) under Spermophilus dauricus (Daurian ground squirrel). RNAcentral's name for it is "7SK RNA (ENSSDAG00000005517.1)". It matches the Rfam family "7SK RNA". From Rfam's summary of the family: 7SK was discovered as an abundant small nuclear RNA in the mid-70s but a possible function has only recently been suggested. Two independent studies have found that 7SK RNA binds the CDK9/cyclin T complex (known as elongation factor P-TEFb). P-TEFb activates transcription by phosphorylating the C-terminal domain of RNA polymerase II. Lineage: Eukaryota; Metazoa; Chordata; Mammalia; Rodentia; Sciuridae. The record is from RNAcentral.
GGAUGUGAGGGCGAUCUGGCUGUGACAUCUAUCUGUCACCCCAUUGAUCACCAGGGUUGAUUCAGCUGAUCUGGCUGGCUAAGCGGGUGUCCCUUUCCUCCUUCACUGCUCCAUGUGCAUCCCUCCAAAAGCUGUGUGCUGGGUCAAAGAGGAUGACCUUCCCUGAUAGAGAAGGACUGUUCUUCGGUCAAGGUUAUAUGAGUAGCUGCGCUCCCCUGCUAGAACCUCCAGUCAAGCUCUCAAGACGUAAAAUCUUGCCACACCUGUAAUCCUAGAGGCUUGGGAGGCUGAGGCAGGAGGAUCACAAGUUCAAACCCAGCCUCAGCAACUUAGCAAGGCCCUAAGCAACUUA